ACUGGGCAUGGUGCUGCAUGCCUAUAAUCCCAGUGGCUUGGGAGGUAGAGGCAGGAGGAUCGUGAGUUCAAAGCCAGCCUCAGCAACAGUGAGGCACUAAGCAACUCAGUGAGACCCUGUCUCUA
RNAcentral lists this small RNA (125 nucleotides) under Marmota monax (woodchuck). Lineage: Eukaryota; Metazoa; Chordata; Mammalia; Rodentia; Sciuridae. The record is from RNAcentral.